Molecule: ribosomal RNA, 406 nt
Filed under: uncultured bacterium
Lineage: Bacteria
Description: partial 16S ribosomal RNA
Rfam family: Bacterial small subunit ribosomal RNA
Source: RNAcentral
GAUGACCGCUAGCUACAGGCUUAACACAUGCAAGUCGAGGGCCCGUCGCACGGGUGAGUAACACGUAUCCCACCUACCCUUUACUCGUGGAUAGCCUAUCGAAUGACAGAUUAAUCCCCCAUAUAAAGGAUGGGUAUUCGUUCCAUUAGGUUGUUGGUGAGGUAACGGCCCACCAACCCUUCGAUGGAUAGGGGUUCUGAGAGGAAGGUCCCCAACAGUGGAACUGAGACACGGUCCAAACUCCUACGGGGGGAAGGAGUGAGGAAUAUUGGAGAAUGGGCGGUAGCAUGAACCAGCAAAGUAUCGCGAAGGGUGAAGGGUUAUGGGUCGUAAAUUAAUUUUGUAUAAGAAUGUGUACUAUAUGAAUAAGGAUCCGCUAACUCCGGGCCAGCAGCCGCGGUAAUUC